UACGGAGGGUCCAAGCGUUAUCCGGAAUCAUUGGGUUUAAAGGGUCCGUAGGCGGUUUUGUAAGUCAGUGGUGAAAGCCCAUCGCUCAACGGUGGAACGGCCAUUGAUACUGCAAGACUUGAAUUAUUGUGAAGUAACUAGAAUAUGUAGUGUAGCGGUGAAGUGCUUAGAGAUUACAUGGAAUACCAAUUGCGAAGGCAGGUUACUAACAAUAUAUUGACGCUGAUGGACGAAAGCGUGGGUAGCGAACAGG
RNAcentral lists this ribosomal RNA (253 nucleotides) under uncultured bacterium. Its description in RNAcentral is "partial 16S ribosomal RNA". It matches the Rfam family "Bacterial small subunit ribosomal RNA", at positions 524 to 776 of the family's 1533-position model. The record is from RNAcentral.